UCAUAUUGUUGUUGUUUUUUAUCUCCGGUCUAGACAGGCUAGACUUAGAUUUAGUAUCUUCAUACGGUAUAUGUAUUUUAUACAUCACCUAAUUACAAUUUUAACAACCAAUAGAUAGAUCUAUAGAUUUUUAGUUAUCCGGUCUUAAUAGAAGAUCGUUACGGUUUUCAUUCAUACAUGCCAUUGUAUGUGUAUUUGUUUGAUAGAACUACACAUAUUUAUAAGAACUGAUCGUUACAAAAUAUAUUGGCAAACAAGGUUAAAAUUUGUCUUUGGAAAAAUCGUCCCGACGUGGUCAGAAAGAGUUAUCCCCCUUGGCCGGCAUAGCGAUCGGUUUUCGAUCAAACAUUUAUCGGUUAGAUCUUGCUUUUUGUUUAUCUGUUCUUACUUGUUCGUUGGUCAUAAUGUUAUCUAGUCUUUGUGCAAACAUAAUUUACAGUCUACAACCAUUCACUAUGGUACUUUUUAUUUUCAGAUACUGAGAUGGAGAACGUCAACGUGCCGCUGACCCUGCACAUGACGCAUGUUUGUAUUCUAUGGUAUCCAAGUGGGCUGUGUCCUGCCACAUUCAGGAAAUUUGAGGUGCAACCCUUGUAGGAAAUCAGGUUUCACUGUCCAGUUACACAAAGCCUGGUGUAAAUAGCUUGUUUGGUCCAGUUGCACCCAACAAAGGUAACAUUGAUAUCCUCGAAACGUAGGAUUCAUGUCUGCAUGUCUUUAAACAAACUGGUUGUAAUAUAGCAUAGACUAUUUAUCCAGAUAAGACAAAUAUACAAAAUAAAACAAAAUACUUUUUGAAUACAAACAACAUGGCCUGCUUGUCUGGUGUUUGUCAUCCUGACACAACUAUUAGCUCACCAAGGUGAGCUUAUGCCAUACCAUGGGGUCCAUCGUCCGUAUGUCAACAAUUUUUUCAAAAAACUUCUUCUUUUGACCACAAAUUGACAAUUAACAAAAUUUGACUGGAAGCAUCCCUAGGUGGUGAGGAUUCAAAAUUGUACAAAUGGUGGGGCUGACCCCCCAAAGGGUUGGGUGGCAGGGUCAAAUGGGGAUAAUUUGGCUAUAUUGCUUUAAGCGACAUCUUCUCUGGAACUAAGAGAUAGGUAUCAACCAUAUAUUGUUGGAAGCAUUCUCCGGUGGUGAGAAGUCAAAAUUGUACAAAUGGUGGGGUGACCCCCUGCAAGGAGCUGAGGGGCGGGCCCAAAUAAGAGUAAUUUGGCUAUAUUGCUUUAAACGACUUCUUUAUUGGAACUAAGAGAUAGAUAUCAACCAUAUUUGGUUGGAAGCAUUCUCCAAUGCUUGGGAUUAAAAAUUGUACAAAUGGAGAGGGCUGACCCCCCAAGGGUCGGGGCCAAAUAAGAGUAAUUUGGCUAUAUUGGUUUAAACGACUUUCUCUCUGGAACUAAGAGAUAGAUAUCAACCAUAUUUGGUUGGAAUCAAUUCUCCAAUGGUGGGGAUUCAAAUUGGAGAAAUGGAGGGGCUGAAAUUGCUUCUUGAAAAACAAUUAAGAAUGAAAAUAAAAAAAGAGAAACUACACUCUCCAGGAAGCUGAAACUUAACUUUGUAGAAAUGAUGAUGAUAACUUGUAGCUUACACAAAGCAAUGGUUCAAAUAAGCUUAUGUCAUGGCUGUGUUCAUUUAUACUAAUGGAAAAAAGUAACUGCUGUGUAUUAAGUAGUGUAAAUGUUAUGUUAUUGUAAAUAACAACAUAAUAUUUGGUCUUUUGUCUCAUCAUUGUCAUAUCAUAACAAAUUCAUUGACAAAAUCCAUUCCUGGUAAUUGGAGACGGAGAGACACGCCCCCAAAGAGGGGUGCAACUUGUAGGCGGGCACUAUCCUGCUGCAACAUGACGUUACGUCCCUGCAUGUGCACAAAGGCAAGAACAUUAUCUCAAACGAUGUCCUCAUAACAAUGAUGAGUUGUGUUCUCCCAUGAGUUGUGAUGCCACCCCAUACCAUUACACUUCCACCCCAAAACUGAUGAUGAUAAGUAAUGCAAGAGUUGCUAAAACAUGUAUGCAUAUAUGACAUGUAGACCUUUGCACAACCAUCAGAGCUCUUCAGAUGAAACCCUCACUCAUCUGUGAACAGUGUACUGUCCCUGUUUUUCUUCUGAACCUCAGAUGCUGUCUACACCAAGUGUGACUGAUAGUGCUGUGUAAGCAAAAUUAGGCAUAUUGCUGAAUAUUGGGACCCGAUGUUGUGCUCUCUCAACCGGGCAACUACUAUGCUGUAAUGAAACUUGAUGGUAUCAGUUUCCACCAACGCUAAACUACAUAUACAGCUCCCAAUACAGUGUGCUUUGAGAAGGGAGAGCAACUAUGCCCUGUACGUUUCUGGAAAGAAGAAGUGUUGAGAAGAAGAGUUCUGUGUUGAAGUCAGCAUUGACAUCCUGAGUAGUGAAAAGAUCAGCAGGUAGUAGCAUCAGUUCGCUACUGUGUGGAGGGACAGUGUUUCUCCCUAUACUCAUGGACAGUACUGUACAUCUAAACAUAUGAUUCAUAUCAUAUAUUGUUUCAUAAUGUGAGGUGUGGCGUUUUUCAUUCAUAAUAUCAAUUAUCAUAUAUGGCGAAUUUAGCAUCUUACAAAUAUACUGUGCAUGGAAUUUCUUCACUUACACUGUUUUCAGCAUUUUGAGGCAAAACUCUUUUCAUGUGUUACAUUUAUGUUUAUUGUUUCCUCAACAAUAAAGAACUAGCAAAAUGA
Molecule: RNA transcript, 2705 nt
Organism: Haliotis rufescens (red abalone)
Lineage: Eukaryota; Metazoa; Mollusca; Gastropoda; Lepetellida; Haliotidae
Exons: 4
Source: RefSeq, a predicted model, not a curated record